RNAcentral lists this ribosomal RNA (165 nucleotides) under Emblica officinalis (emblic). Its description in RNAcentral is "Phyllanthus emblica partial 5.8S ribosomal RNA". The stretch from base 117 to 165 matches the Rfam family "5.8S ribosomal RNA", at positions 1 to 49 of the family's 154-position model. The record is from RNAcentral. Lineage: Eukaryota; Viridiplantae; Streptophyta; Magnoliopsida; Malpighiales; Phyllanthaceae.
CAUAAACCAACCCCGGCGCGGAAUGCGCCAAGGAAAACGAAUCUAAAAGAGAGAACUCUACGUUCGCCUCGGAAACGAUGUGUGCAUGUAGUUGAAUCUCCUUUCAUAACCAAAACGACUCUCGGCAACGGAUAUCUCGGCUCUCGCAUCGAUGAAGAACGCAGC